AUUGAACGCUGGCGGCAUGCCUUACACAUGCAAGUCGAACGGCAGCACGGGAGCAAUCCUGGUGGCGAGUGGCGAACGGGUGAGUAAUAUAUCGGAACGUGCCCGGUCGUGGGGAUAACGUAGCGAAAGCUACGCUAAUACCGCAUACGAUCUACGGAUGAAAGCGGGGGAUCGCAAGACCUCGCGCGAUUGGAGCGGCCGAUAUCAGAUUAGGUAGUUGGUGAGGUAAAGGCUCACCAAGCCGACGAUCUGUAGCUGGUCUGAGAGGACGACCAGCCACACUGGGACUGAGACACGGCCCAGACUCCUACGGAGGCAGCAGUGGGGAAUUUUGGACAAUGGGCGCAAGCCUGAUCCAGCAAUGCCGCGUGCAGGAUGAAGGCC
This 384-nucleotide ribosomal RNA is filed under the name uncultured bacterium. RNAcentral's name for it is "bacterial SSU rRNA". It matches the Rfam family "Bacterial small subunit ribosomal RNA", at positions 30 to 416 of the family's 1533-position model. The record is from RNAcentral.